RNAcentral lists this unclassified non-coding RNA (293 nucleotides) under uncultured fungus. Its description in RNAcentral is "sequence contains ITS2". Lineage: Eukaryota; Fungi. The record is from RNAcentral.
AACGCACCUUGCACCCUUUGGUAUUCCAAAGGGUAUGCUCGUUUGAGUGUCAUUGUACUCUCAUACUCUCUGAUCUUAAGAUUGGGAGUGGUGGACUUGGGUGGUUGCUGCUUCACUGUGGCUCACCUGAAAUGCAUUAGUGCAACUCUUGACUAACCAUAGUAUGGCAUGAUAAGCAUCUUUGCCAGCACCUCUCCGGAGGGUGGUCAGUCAAGAGCUCUGUGCUUCUAACUGUCUUUGGACAAUCUUGACAACUUGACCUCAAAUCGAGUAGGACUACCCGCUGAACUUAA